UCCUCCUCCUCCUUUCUCCCCAUCACGCACAAAAAGAAUGGGGCCUUGAAAGGGAUGAGUUUAUUAUGCGCUUUUAAAUGACUAUUCAGGAAAGAACAGGAGGCAAAAUAAAAAUGCUUCCCACCCCACCAAUUCCCUUCCCUUGAAGCAAAGAAAGAAAGGGAAAGCAACUCACAAAGGAGAGGAGUGGUUUUGCUCCAUCAUUCAUUCCUGCCAUGAUACUCUAUCUUUCCAUAGGCCCAAAGCAAGAGCUGGUUAAUAAUGGACUGGAUUCUCCAAAACUGGACUCAAGAUGUGACAGUUGAACCAACGCCUCACCAUAAAAUGCAAGGGAAGUGACAGAAAGAGUGACAGACAAAUUAAAGACACUCCAAAGAUUUGAAGUCAAGAAACAACCCUCAAGGUGUAAACAACAAGUGAUUACUCAUAGGUGGUAUAAUCAAAAGAUGAGUGCUAAAGUCCAGGCCAGGACUGAGUUGUCAUCCAGAGAGAGAUCAGCCCAAGCCUGUCCAAACAUUCAUUAUAAACAUGGUUCAGAAUGUUUUCUAUGGAUUUGGUCCAGAUUUUUGCCAUAUCCAUAUCUCAAAAAGUUGAUCCAUUCCAGUGCUAUAAACUUUCAAAUAAUAAAAAUGAUUUGAUCAUAAGGGGAAAAGGGGGAAAGAAAACAUUCACAGACUCAGAGGAAGGUCUGAGCAAAUAAGGACAAGUGGUUCACAGGAGAAUUUAUACAUCACAAACUGAAUUUCAACAAGUUAUUUAGGAUAAUUUCUAGUGAAUGAUGAAGUUGGAAUUUUACCAUGUAUAGGGUCAAAGUGUCAUGGAUAUUGGUCCCGUCACUAUUUCAGUGUUAUUGCUGGUCCUUCAUUCGAGAUCAUGAAAUGAUUACCUUGUAAACUAUAAAAUGAAAUGCACGCCCUCAAAUUUCUGUUGUUUUUGAAGUGUUGAGUAGAGGAUGUUACUGGUACUGUUAAUGUUAACUAUGUUUGAUCAUAUUGUUAUUAUGCUGAUUAACAACUUGCAGCUAGUCCUCCACCUCCAUGUUUUUCUCACUUGCAAAACAAUAAAAACACACAGCCAUUUCAA
This is a long non-coding RNA of Ictidomys tridecemlineatus (thirteen-lined ground squirrel), 1083 nucleotides long. RefSeq lists it as uncharacterized. NCBI's taxonomy places the organism in Eukaryota, Metazoa, Chordata, Mammalia, Rodentia, Sciuridae. The record is from RefSeq and is a predicted model, not a curated record.